AUUACGAAGGGAGUUCAACCUACUCAAAGAUAACUCAGAGUUAUCAGCCAAACUCAGGAUUGACAAGCUCUGACCGCCUACACUGGAGUUAAACGAUUCCCUGCCUGGACUUGACUCUGUCUCCGCUACACUCCUGCAGCACACGAACUCUGGAUCCUCUGCGUGACUGGAUUCCCUCCCCCGACCAGUGCUGGAAUUCAACUCCUCCCAAGGACAGCGAGCUCUGUUUGUCCCUCUCAGCCUGAACCCAGUAACUUGGGACCCCCCACUUGGACACCUUUCACCAGACACCGUAUUCUGCCUUCCCCCCUUGCACAUUUAAGUAUCAACUCAAUAAACCACGUUACAGCCGUUCGCAUUUA
Long non-coding RNA from Micropterus salmoides (largemouth bass), 362 nucleotides. RefSeq lists it as uncharacterized. NCBI's taxonomy places the organism in Eukaryota, Metazoa, Chordata, Actinopteri, Centrarchiformes, Centrarchidae. The transcript has 2 exons. The record is from RefSeq and is a predicted model, not a curated record.